UCAUGAUCCCAGGGUCCUGGGAUUGAGUCCUGCAUUGGGCUCCCCACUCAGUGGGAAGUCUGCUUCUCCCUCUGCCCCUCUCCCCCCACUUGUGCUCACACACACACACUCUCUCUCUCUCUCUCUCAAAAAUAAAAUCUUUAAAAAAAAAAAAAAAGGGAAGAGCUGCACUGGGGUCAGGAGGAGUGGCUCAUUAUACACUUUCAAGUUGGGAGGGGGUUAGGGAUAGUGUAAGUCUCUAAGGAAUUUUGGAAGCAAGCUUUUCAGGACUUCAGGGGGCUAGCUAUUGUUGGGAAAGGUCAUUUAUCACUGUCUGAUAAAACCUGAGUCAUGAGACCCUUCAGAUGUAUAUCGGUCGGUCAUAUGCUUGGAAGAUGAUUGCCAACAUGUAUCUUGGGCGGGGGGAGUGGUUAGAGAUAAAGGAAGUUUUCAAAGGAAUUUUUAUAUGUUAAAGUAGACUUACAGGAUGGGGGUGGGUGGGCUAGGACUGCCUUCUGCCGUCAACAUCUGGGCAGCUGAGUUCCUGGAGGAAGGUCACUCUGCCUGUUUCAAGGACUUGUCAAUGGGCUGUAAGUAGUAAGGAAAUUUAAUAAUUUUUCUUCUGCCUUUGUUUCCCCCAUCAGAACUACAGAAGAAAGCGUUCUGGAGGAUUCAGGAAAGGAAAGGAAGGAUGUCUCUUUCUCUGACAGAAGAGAGUCCUACAGAGGGGUAUGCCAGCCACAUGUAGCCCUCUGCUUCUUGUCUUUAAUGAGCUGAGAGGACCUCCUGCCCUCUAGCCCAAGAGGAGAAGGCCCAUACAGUCACACAUGCCAGCUCUUCCUGGGCACUGACUCACGGAGCCUUUGACCCAAGGCACGAGAAGUGUCACCAUGCAGGUGGGGCAAAUGGAAGAGUCAGCUUUAAAUCGGAGUUGUCAGCAACUAUAUUGCAUAUGCAAAGAGUAAGUAUUCCAAUCAAAAGGCAGAGACCGACAACCUGGGUACAAAAACAAUCAUGUUGUUUGAAGAAAACAACUCCUAUUUAAGGAUAUAUAAGGACACCGACAAGUUAAUCGUAAAAAAAUGGGAAAACUUUAUGCUGUGUUACUUAGUCUGCUAAGAUUGGGCUGCUAUUAUUAAACCAGAUGGCUUACAGACAGCAGAAAUUAAAAAACAA
Molecule: long non-coding RNA, 1155 nt
Filed under: Ursus americanus (American black bear)
Lineage: Eukaryota; Metazoa; Chordata; Mammalia; Carnivora; Ursidae
Description: lncRNA (ENSUAMG00000027946.1)
Source: RNAcentral